AGAAUCAACGCUGGCGGCGUGCCUAACACAUGCAAGUCGAACGAGAAAGGGGAGCAAUCCCUGAGUACAGUGGCGACCGGGUGAGUAACACGUGACUAACCUACCCUCGAGUGUGGAAUAACAUCGGGAAACCGAUGCUAAUACCGCAUAACAUCGCAAGAUCAAAGGAGUAAUCCGCUUGAGGAGGGGGUCGCGGCUGAUUUAGCUAGUUGGCGGGUAAUGGCCCACCAAGGCGAAGAUCGGUA
RNAcentral lists this ribosomal RNA (245 nucleotides) under uncultured bacterium. RNAcentral describes it as "partial small subunit ribosomal RNA". It matches the Rfam family "Bacterial small subunit ribosomal RNA", at positions 26 to 285 of the family's 1533-position model. The record is from RNAcentral.